Molecule: ribosomal RNA, 301 nt
Filed under: uncultured bacterium
Lineage: Bacteria
Description: partial 16S ribosomal RNA
Rfam family: Bacterial small subunit ribosomal RNA
Source: RNAcentral
CAGCAGCCGCGGUAAUACGUAGGUGGCAAGCGUUGUCCGGAAUUAUUGGGCGUAAAGGGCUCGCAGGCGGUUUCUUAAGUCUGAUGUGAAAGCCCCCGGCUCGGCCGGGGAGGGUCAUUGGAAACUGGGAAACUUGAGUGCAGAAGAGGAGAGUGGAAUUCCACGUGUAGCGGUGAAAUGCGUAGAGAUGUGGAGGAACACCAGUGGCGAAGGCGACUCUCUGGUCUGUAACUGACGCUGAGGAGCGAAAGCGUGGGGAGCGAACAGGAUUAGAUACCCCCGUAGUCCCUGUCUCUUAUAC